RNAcentral lists this ribosomal RNA (382 nucleotides) under uncultured eukaryote. RNAcentral describes it as "partial 18S ribosomal RNA". It matches the Rfam family "Eukaryotic small subunit ribosomal RNA", at positions 592 to 976 of the family's 1831-position model. The record is from RNAcentral.
CAAUAGCGUAUAUUAAAGUUGUUGCAGUUAAAAAGCUCGUAGUUGGAUUUCUGGUUGAAGCGACCGGUCGGGCGUUGAUUCGUCUGCACUGGAGUCGGUUUUGGCCAUCCUCUAGGAAAGUGCGUCUGGUAUUAAGUUAUCGGGCGUAUGAUCCUGGUCUUUUACUGUGAAAAAAUUAGAGUGUUUAAAGCAGGCCUUCGCCUUGAAUACAUUAGCAUGGAAUAAUAAGAUAGGACUUUGGUCUAUUUUGUUGUUUUGCAGACCGAAGUAAUGAUUAAUAGGGAUAGUUGGGGGUAUUUAUAUUCCGAUGUCAGAGGUGAAAUUCUUAGAUUUUCGGAAGAUAAACUUAUGCGAAAGCAUUUACCAAGGAUGUUUNCAUUAA